AAGUCGUAACAAGGUUUCCGUAGGUGAACCUGCGGAAGGAUCAUUUCCAAAAACACAUACCAUAAACCCAAAAGGAGGAGGGGGUCAAACCUCUCUUCUUGUGUGAAACUGUGUCGGGGUCGUCUCUUCUUUUUUUACUCUCAAAGGGUAGCUUCUUUCUCCUUCUUUUUUGAGGUGAGGAGGUUGUUGCCUGGAGAGAGAUGUGAUAAGCCCAUUCGAUAGAAAUUGAAAACCUUUUCAUUCUAGGGAAACCAAAAAAAUAAAUAAAACGACAACUUUUAACGGUGGAUCUCUAGGCUCGU
Molecule: unclassified non-coding RNA, 302 nt
Filed under: fungal sp.
Lineage: Eukaryota; Fungi
Description: partial internal transcribed spacer region
Rfam family: Eukaryotic small subunit ribosomal RNA (bases 1-46)
Source: RNAcentral